RNAcentral lists this ribosomal RNA (402 nucleotides) under uncultured bacterium. Its description in RNAcentral is "bacterial SSU rRNA". It matches the Rfam family "Bacterial small subunit ribosomal RNA", at positions 355 to 774 of the family's 1533-position model. The record is from RNAcentral.
UGGGGAAUAUUGGACAAUGGGCGCAAGCCUGAUCCAGCCAUGCCGCGUGAGUGAUGAAGGCCCUAGGGUUGUAAAGCUCUUUUGUGCGGGAAGAUAAUGACGGUACCGCAAGAAUAAGCCCCGGCUAACUUCGUGCCAGCAGCCGCGGUAAUACGUAGGGUGCGAGCGUUAAUCGGAAUUACUGGGCGUAAAGCGUGCGCAGGCGGUUUUGUAAGACAGAUGUGAAAUCCCCGGGCUUAACCUGGGAACUGCGUCUGUGACUGCAAGGCUGGAGAACGGCAGAGGGGGGUGGAAUUCCACGUGCAGCAGUGAAAUGCGUAGAGAUGUGGAGGAACACCGAUGGCGAAGGCAGCCCCCUGGGCCUGUACUGACGCUCAUGCACGAAAGCGUGGGGAGCAAACA